Molecule: long non-coding RNA, 913 nt
Filed under: Sorghum bicolor (sorghum)
Lineage: Eukaryota; Viridiplantae; Streptophyta; Magnoliopsida; Poales; Poaceae
Description: long non-coding RNA (SBIC_LNC015382)
Source: RNAcentral
UGCAGUUGAGUUGGUAAGAAAGCUACGUGCGAGAUAAGAGGUCUUGGGUUUCGAAUCUCACGCAUAGCAAGAGCGGUCUCCUAGGAUUUAAACUAUUUUUUUAGUUCCAAGAGUGGGCUUUAGUUCCGAUUGUAUGACCCGAGAUUAAAGGUCCCGGCCUGUAGUCCCAGGUCCUGACUAAAUGGGGUUUCCUAACCGGAAUUGAAUAGUCCCAGGUCCUGACUAAAUGGGGUUUCCUAACCGGAAUUGAAGCCCACCUGUGUACUGUCCAUCAAACGGACCAAAUGGGGUUUCCUAACCGGAAUUGAAGCCCACCUGUGUACUGUCCAUCAAACAUAAGCCGUCAGGGACUAUUGCUAGGAGAAGUUGAUCUUUCCUGUCGACAAGUCGGUCUUGUUGGCCGAUUCCUAACAGCUAGUGUUUCUUUCUUGGCCGUCAAGGAAAAACUGUCCCUGGUAGUAAUAUACCUCAUCAUUCAUUAUUAUACGCCAAGCUAGCCAAAUAAUAAAUAAACUCGAUGCUCAAUCCACAACUGACUUUCCAGUUUUUGUAUGCAGACAUAGUGUUGACGUGGUGGCUAUGUCAUCUGUGCAUAUUUUCUGAGAUGUAGAACCUCAAGCAGAAAGGCACUGAGUCGAUUGAGUAAUAUAUAUGAAACUGAAUGCAACGAUUUAGAUUUCAAUCUGGCCAUUGAGCAUUCAGCUAGCCAUGAAUCGAGACCCUUCAUGGUUGCAUAGCUUCCAUGCUGAUUGACAAAGCUGAGGCCAUGGAGGAGCCGUCAGGAUAAUAUAAUUAACUUUCCUGAAUUUUGAAAAUAUUUGUACUACAGGAUCCAGCGGAUCAUGCAUCUAUGGAAUAAUGGAGAGAAAAUAAAGUGCAGAAAAAGUGCAUGCACCACAUAUAGGAAGAAUAG